Molecule: ribosomal RNA, 253 nt
Filed under: uncultured bacterium
Lineage: Bacteria
Description: partial 16S ribosomal RNA
Rfam family: Bacterial small subunit ribosomal RNA
Source: RNAcentral
UAUGAAGGGGGCUAGCGUUGCUCGGAAUCACUGGGCGUAAAGCGCACGUAGGCGGCUUUCUAAGUCAGGGGUGAAAUCCUGGAGCUCAACUCCAGAACUGCCUUUGAUACUGGAGAGCUUGAGUCCGGAAGAGGUGAGUGGAACUCCGAGUGUAGAGGUGAAAUUCGUAGAUAUUCGGAAGAACACCAGUGGCGAAGGCGGCUCACUGGUCCGGUACUGACGCUGAGGUGCGAAAGCGUGGGGAGCAAACAGG